Molecule: non-coding RNA, 145 nt
Filed under: [Eubacterium] cellulosolvens
Lineage: Bacteria; Bacillati; Bacillota; Clostridia; Eubacteriales; Eubacteriaceae
Description: Eubacterium cellulosolvens FMN sequence
Rfam family: FMN riboswitch aptamer (RFN element)
About the family: The RFN element is a highly conserved domain that is found frequently in the 5'-untranslated regions of prokaryotic mRNAs that encode for flavin mononucleotide (FMN) biosynthesis and transport proteins.
Source: RNAcentral
CAAGAUCUUCAGGGCGGGGCGAAAUUCCCCACUGGCGGUGAUACUCCUUUGUUUGGAAAGUGAGCAAGUCCGCGAGCGGCCUUCGGGCGGCAGAACCGGUGAGAAUCCGGUACCAACAGUAAAGUCUGGAUGAAAGAAGACACAG